This is a long non-coding RNA of Electrophorus electricus (electric eel), 685 nucleotides long. RefSeq lists it as uncharacterized. The record is from RefSeq and is a predicted model, not a curated record. Lineage: Eukaryota; Metazoa; Chordata; Actinopteri; Gymnotiformes; Gymnotidae.
AAGUGAUUGCUGUGGCCUAUACAAGGACCCUGCUGGAAGGAGACGACAACUUGCCCAAGCUCAUGCUAGUGUCAUCCUAACUUUGUGCAGAUAAGUUGCUCUCUCAGGACGUCGUCAUACUCGUUGAGAACAUCAUUGCCUUUCUGGACAAGAAUUGUCAGCUUCUGUUCUACUUGGCCACUUUCCCCAUCAGUGUUCAUGGUGAGAGGAGAAACUGAAAUAUUGAGAGUUGGUCUGCUACAGGGGUCUGGGGAAAGGCUAGACAUCUCCAUAAGCCCUAUGAAAUUAACUUGAUGGAUGAGCUGACUUUGAAAGGCAUCAUUCAGUACUGUGCCUGUGUUACAGAGAGAUGUUCACUGUCACUGUCUCAACACCCUCUUCUUCAGGGAACACAGAAAUCUAUGUUCUAGGACUUCAGAAAUGGCCUGUGCAGAAACCUGUACCCGGUUUGUACAGAUGUUUUUACAAGAGGAAGUGAUGUGCAGGCUGUCAAUGUGGUCAUUUUAAUUUUGAUUUCCUGUAAUGUUAAGUAUGUGUAUUGGGUGCACUAACAAAUGUUAAAAUUAUAUUAACUAUGACAUCUUAAAUUAAAACGUUUACAUGACAUAUCUAAAUGUAGUUGAAAAUAAAGUAUCUCAUUAAAAAUAAGCCUUAAUGUUUCAAUUUCAUUGUUUUUCAUUUGUGU